AUGGGAGCCCACCCCCCAAUGAUGAAGUCACAGUGUCUUCAUUUAUUGUUUAUAGGUUCAUGUGAUACAGAUAGAGCUGGAAAGAACAUGAGAGGCCAUGGAAUUCAACUCCUAUAUUUAUAGAUGAAAAACCUGACGCCAAAUUCCUCCAAGUUCUUCUGGAUCACUGCAUUGCCACUAAUGGAGAAGUCAAUUCCAUUCGAUUAUGCCACAGUGUAUCUGUCUCUGUGUACAAUGUUCUCCUGGUUCUGCUCCUCUCACUCUGCAUCACUUCGUGGAGGUUGUUCCAGUCUCCAUGGAAUUCCUCCACUUUAUUAUUCCUUUUGGCACAAUUGUAUUCCAUCACCAACAUAUACCACAAUUUGUUCAGCCAUUCCCCAAUUGAAGGGCAUCCCCUCAUUUUCCAACUUUUUGCCACCAGAAAGAGUGUCGCUAUGAAUAUUCUUGUACAAGUCUUUUUCCUUAUUAUCUUUAUUAUCUCUUUGGGGUACAAACCCAGCAGUACUGUGGCUGGAUCAUAGGUCAGAAAGUCUUUUAUCGCCCUUUGGGCAUAAUUCCAAAUUGCUCUCCAGAAUGGUUGGAUCAAUUCACAACUCUACCAGCAAUGCAUUAAUGAUCCUACUUUGCCACAUCCCCUCCAGCAUUCAUUACUUUCUUUUGCUGUCAUGUUAGCCAAUCUGCUAGGUGUGAGGUGAUACCUCAGAGUUGUUUUGAUUUGCAUCUCUCUGAUUAUAAGAGAUUUAGGACACUUUUUCAUGUGCUUACUAAUAGUUUUGAUUUCUUUAACUGAAAAUUGCCUAUUCAUGUCCCUUGCCCAUUUAUCAAUUGGAGAAUGGCUUGAUUUUUUGUACAAUUGGUUUAGCUCUUUAUAAAUUUAAGUAAUUAGACCUUUGUCAGAGGUUUUUGUUAUGAAAAUUGUUUCCCAAUUGGUUGCUUCUCUUCUUUUUUUUUUCUUUUUUUUUAAAAAAACCCUUACCUUCCGUCUUGGAGUCAAUACUGUGUAUUGGCUCCAAGGCAGAAGAGUGGUAAGGGCUAGGCAAUGGGGGUUAAGUGACUUGCCCAAGGUCACACAGCUAGGAAGUGGCUGAGGCCAGAUUUGAACCUAGGACCUCCCAUCUCUAGGCCUGGCUCUCAAUCCACUGAGCUACCCAGCUGCCCCCAGGUUGCUUCUCUUCUAAUUUUGUUUGCAUUGUUUUUUUUUUGUAUAAAACCUUUUUAACUUGAUGUAAUCAAAAUGAUUGAUUUUACAUUUUGUGAUUUUUUCUAGCACUUGCUUGGUUUUAAAGUCUUUCCUUUCCCAAAGAUCUGACAUGUAUAAUAUUCUGUUCACCUAAUUUGCUUAUAGUUUCCUUCUUUAUAUUCAGGUCAUUCACGCAUUCUGAGUUUAUCUUGGUGUUGGGUGUGUGAUCCAAACCUAAUCUCUCCCACACUGUCUUCC
Molecule: long non-coding RNA, 1438 nt
Filed under: Monodelphis domestica (gray short-tailed opossum)
Lineage: Eukaryota; Metazoa; Chordata; Mammalia; Didelphimorphia; Didelphidae
Description: lncRNA (ENSMODG00000046362.1)
Source: RNAcentral